RNAcentral lists this ribosomal RNA (397 nucleotides) under uncultured bacterium. RNAcentral describes it as "bacterial SSU rRNA". It matches the Rfam family "Bacterial small subunit ribosomal RNA", at positions 29 to 416 of the family's 1533-position model. The record is from RNAcentral.
AACGAACGCUGGCGGCGCGCCUAAUACAUGCAAGUCGAGCGAGAAGACGUAGCAAUACGUUUGUAAAGCGGCGAACGGGUGAGGAAUACAUGGGUAACCUACCCUCGAGUGGGGAAUAACUAGCCGAAAGGUUAGCUAAUACCGCGUACGCUCCUCGGACUUCGGUUCAGGGAGGAAAGCGAUACCGUGGGUAUCGCGCUCUUGGAUGGGCUCAUGUCCUAUCAGCUUGUUGGGAGGUAACGGCUCACCAAGGCUUCGACGGGUAGCUGGUCUGAGAGGACGAUCAGCCACACUGGCACUGCGACACGGGCCAGACUCCUACGGGAGGCAGCAGUAAGGAAUAUUGCGCAAUGGGCGAAAGCCUGACGCAGCGACGCCGCGUGGGGGAGUGAAGGUC